This 428-nucleotide ribosomal RNA is filed under the name uncultured bacterium. RNAcentral's name for it is "bacterial SSU rRNA". It matches the Rfam family "Bacterial small subunit ribosomal RNA", at positions 355 to 775 of the family's 1533-position model. The record is from RNAcentral.
UGGGGAAUUUUGGACAAUGGGCGAAAGCCUGAUCCAGCAAUGCCGCGUGAGUGAAGAAGGCCUUCGGGUUGUAAAGCUCUUUUGUCAGGGAAGAAACGGUGGUGCCUAAUACGGAUCACUAAUGACGGUACCUGAAGAAUAAGCACCGGCUAACUACGUGCCAGCAGCCGCGGUAAUACGUAGGGUGCAAGCGUUAAUCGGAAUUACUGGGCGUAAAGCGUGCGCAGGCGGUUUUGUAAGUCUGUCGUGAAAUCCCCGGGCUCAACCUGGGAAUGGCGAUGGAGACUGCAAGGCUAGAGUUUGGCAGAGGGGGGUAGAAUUCCACGUGUAGCAGUGAAAUGCGUAGAUAUGUGGAGGAACACCGAUGGCGAAGGCAGCCCCCUGGGUCAAGACUGACGCUCAUGCACGAAAGCGUGGGGAGCAAACAG